This 873-nucleotide long non-coding RNA is filed under the name Gopherus agassizii (Agassiz's desert tortoise). RNAcentral's name for it is "lncRNA (ENSGAGG00000018611.1)". Lineage: Eukaryota; Metazoa; Chordata; Testudines; Testudinidae. The record is from RNAcentral.
UAAAGUUAAAGCAGAAUAUGCCAGCACCUUUUGCCAGGAUAUUUUCAGCAAGGAUCUUGUAUGCAAAAAACAAGCUAAGAGCAAAUGGCUGAGUUCUUUCCAGAAACUGCAUAAGAUAUUUCAGGAAUAUGCUCCAGUUGCUCUCAGCCAAGAAACUGCCACCACACUACUUAAAAACAGCUUUGUCACACUAAUAUGAGAUGAGUGUUAGCUGGGGAAAGGAUGGAAUCAACCCCAUCAGCAACAGAUCCCAUGCCUACUAUUUUGAACACCUGUGCAGUGACUUUCAGAAAAUUUGUCAUCACCCACUUCAACAGAUGACCUGUUCAAAGAAUUUCCCUGAGGGGCUGGACGAAAGGAAAAGAAAGCAAGUAUAUAGAGCUUAUAGUGAAGAAGAGAUUCUGGAGCACGUCCAGCAUUGUCAAGCACUGAAUUUGAAGUGCUGAUUAAGGAGUUUGCCUUGUUGCUGGAAUUUGCUACAGAGGCGAAAGCACUGUUGAUAAGUCUGGAUGGUGUAGAUGAGUUGUCAGAGGAGUAUGGAGCUGACUUUUCCUGGAUACUCACUGAGCUACCUGAAAAUGUCUAUUUUAUUGUUUCUACAUCUACAGAAUCAAACUGCUCAUCUUUGAAAACACUGCAAGUAAAAUAAUGCAUCUAAUAAUGAAUUUAAUGGUGUUAAUAUUUAGCAUGUGAUACUUGUUUUUAAAUUUUUGUUUUACGUAUUUUUUUUUUAUUAAAGGAAUAAUGAGAUGUGGUUAUAAUUGUUUGAAAAACUUUCCUAAUCAAAACAAACAGUUAAAAAAGAAAAAGAGAUAAUAUAAAACCAUCUCUAUCCUGAUCCCCACACCACUAAAGAAAUCAUUCCAAUUAUUU